Molecule: ribosomal RNA, 1353 nt
Filed under: uncultured marine eukaryote
Lineage: Eukaryota
Description: SSU rRNA
Rfam family: Eukaryotic small subunit ribosomal RNA
Source: RNAcentral
CACUUCUAAGGAAGGCAGCAGGCGCGCAAAUUACCCAAUCCUGACUCAGGGAGGUAGUGACAAGAAAUAACAAUAAACCGGCUUAUGCCGGUUUAAUUGGAAUGAGUACAAUUUAAACGUCUUAACGAGGAACAAUUGGAGGGCAAGUCUGGUGCCAGCAGCCGCGGUAAUUCCAGCUCCAAUAGCGUAUACUAAAGUUGUUGCAGUUAAAAAGCUCGUAGUUGGAUUUCUGUGGGGACGGAGCGGCCGGCCGCACAUCGCGGUUCGAGCUAGCGCUUUCCCUACAUCCUGCCGCGAACCGUGCUACCAUUAAUUUGGUGGCGCCGGGGAUCGGCUCGAUUACUUUGAGAAAAAUAGAGUGUUCAAAGCAGGCCACAUGCCUUGAAUAAGUUAGCAUGGAAUAAUAACUAAGGACUUCGGUUCUAUUUUGUUGGUGUUCGGGACUGAAGUAAUGAUUGAUAGGGACAGUUGGGGCGGUCUGUAUUCCAAAGCGAGAGGUGAAAUUCUUAGACCUUCGGAAGACAAACAGCUGCGAAAGCGUUCCGCAAGGAUGUUCCCUUUGAUCAAGAACGAAAGUUGGGGGAUCGAAGACGAUCAGAUACCGUCGUAGUCUCAACUAUAAACUAUACCAGCUAGGGAUCGGCCAACGUUAUUUCAUACCGACUUGGUCGGCACCUUAUGAGAAAUCAAAGCAUCUGGGUUCCGGGGGGAGUAUGGUCGCAAGGCUGAAACUUAAAGGAAUUGACGGAAGGGCACCACCAGCCGUGGAGCCUGUGGCUUAAUUUGACUCAACACGGGAAAACUUACCAGGUCCAGACAUAGUAAGGAUUGACAGAUUGAUAGCUCUUUCUUGAUUCUGUGGGUGGUGGUGCAUGGCCGUUCUUAGUUGGUGGAGUGAUUUGUCUGGUUAAUUCCGUUAACGAACGAGACCCCAGCCUGCUAAAUAGCGCGCGUGAGCUUUGCUCGCGGCGAGCUUCUUAGAGGGACUAUGAUGCGCGAUAGCACAUGGAAGUUUGGGGCAAUAACAGGUCUGUGAUGCCCUUAGAUGUUCUGGGCCGCACACGGGCUACACUGGCGCCUGCAACGAGCAUAUCAGCUGGCCCGAGAGGGUCUUGGCUAAUCUUUUGAACCGGCGCCGUGCUUGGGAUUGACCUUUGCAAUUGUUGGUCAUGCAACGAGGAAUGCCUUGUAAACGCGAGUCAUCAGCUCGCAUUGAAUACGUCCCUGCCCUUUGUACACACCGCCCGUCGCUCCUACCGAUGAAUGUUCCGAUGAAAUUUUCGGAGAGCACCUGUGAACUUGGCUCUGCCUUGCGAACGGGAGGCUCAAAGUCACUUAAAUCUGAACAUUUCG